GAUCAUGGCUCAGGACGAACGCUGGCGGCGUGCUUAACACAUGCAAGUCGAACGAAGAACGAUGGAAGCUUGCUUCUAUCAAUCUUAGUGGCGAACGGGUGAGUAACGCGUAAUCAACCUGCCCUUCAGAGGGGGGACAACAGUUGGAAACGACUGCUAAUACCGCAUACGAUCCAAUCUCGGCAUCGAGACUGGAUGAAAGGUGGCCUCUAUUUAUAAGCUAUCACUGAAGG
Molecule: ribosomal RNA, 233 nt
Filed under: uncultured bacterium
Lineage: Bacteria
Description: partial 16S ribosomal RNA
Rfam family: Bacterial small subunit ribosomal RNA
Source: RNAcentral